UACGUAGGGUGCAAGCGUUAAUCGGAAUUACUGGGCGUAAAGCGUGCGCAGGCGGUUUUGUAAGUCUGAUGUGAAAUCCCCGGGCUCAACCUGGGAAUUGCAUUGGAGACUGCAAGGCUAGAAUCUGGCAGAGGGGGGUAGAAUUCCACGUGUAGCAGUGAAAUGCGUAGAGAUGUGGAGGAACACCAAUGGCGAAGGCAGCCUUCUGGGCCAACACUGACGCUCAUGCACGAAAGCGUGGGGAGCAAACAGG
RNAcentral lists this ribosomal RNA (253 nucleotides) under uncultured bacterium. RNAcentral's name for it is "partial 16S ribosomal RNA". It matches the Rfam family "Bacterial small subunit ribosomal RNA", at positions 524 to 776 of the family's 1533-position model. The record is from RNAcentral.